AAACUUUCAACAACGGAUCUCUUGGUUCUGGCAUCGAUGAAGAACGCAGCGAAAUGCGAUAAGUAGUGUGAAUUGCAGAAUUCAGUGAAUCAUCGAAUCUUUGAACGCAUUGCGCCCUGG
RNAcentral lists this ribosomal RNA (120 nucleotides) under uncultured Cenococcum. RNAcentral's name for it is "partial 5.8S ribosomal RNA". It matches the Rfam family "5.8S ribosomal RNA", at positions 1 to 121 of the family's 154-position model. From Rfam's summary of the family: 5.8S ribosomal RNA (5.8S rRNA) is a component of the large subunit of the eukaryotic ribosome. Lineage: Eukaryota; Fungi; Ascomycota; Dothideomycetes; Gloniales; Gloniaceae. The record is from RNAcentral.